Molecule: ribosomal RNA, 727 nt
Filed under: uncultured fungus
Lineage: Eukaryota; Fungi
Description: SSU rRNA
Rfam family: Eukaryotic small subunit ribosomal RNA
Source: RNAcentral
GAUAGAGGCCUACCAUGGUUUUAACGGGUAACGGGGAAUUAGGGUUCGAUUCCGGAGAGGGAGCCUGAGAAACGGCUACCACAUCCAAGGAAGGCAGCAGGCGCGCAAAUUACCCAAUCCCGACACGGGGAGGUAGUGACAAUAAAUAACAAUACGGGGCUCAUUUGGGUCUCGUAAUUGGAAUGAGUACAAUUUAAAUCUCUUAACGAGGAACAAUUGGAGGGCAAGUCUGGUGCCAGCAGCCGCGGUAAUUCCAGCUCCAAUAGCGUAUAUUAAAGUUGUUGCAGUUAAAAAGCUCGUAGUUGAACUUCGGGGUUUACCCAUUGGUCAGGCUUAAUUGUCUGUACUGGUGAGAUAAAUCUCUACCUUCUGAGGAACUUUCAUGUCAUUAAUUUGGUGUGAUUGGAAAUCAGGACUGUUACUUUGAAAAAAUUAGAGUGUUUAAAGCAGGCUAACGUCUGAAUACAUUAGCAUGGAAUAAUGAAAUAGGACGGAUUGAUUCUAUUUCGUUGGUUUCUAGGAUCACCGUAAUGAUUAAUAGGGAUAGUUGGGGGCAUUAGUAUUCAAUUGUCAGAGGUGAAAUUCUUGGAUUUAUUGAAGACUAACUACUGCGAAAGCAUUUGCCAAGGAUGUUUUCAUUAAUCAAGAACGAAAGUUAGGGGAUCGAAGACGAUCAGAUACCGUCGUAGUCUUAACCAUAAACUAUGCCGACUAGGGAUCGGACGAA